CUCCCUUCGGGGAGCAAGUAGAGUGGCGCACGGGCGAGUAACACGUAGGUAAUCUACCUUUGGAUGGGGAAUAACAACCGGAAACGGUUGCUAAUACCGCAUAAUGCAGCGGCACCUAAUGGUGACAGUUGUUAAAGCGGGGGAUCGCAAGACCUCGCGUCUGAAGAGGAGCCUGCGGCAGAUUAGCUAGUUGGUAGGGUAACGGCUUACCAAGGCGAUGAUCUGUAGCCGGCCUGAGAGGGCGGUCGGCCACACUGACACUGACAUACGGGUCAGACUCCUACGGGAGGCAGCAGUCGGGAAUUUUGGGCAAUGGGCGAAAGCCUGACCCAGCAACGCCGCGUGAAGGAUGAAAUCCCUCGGGAUGUAAACUUCGCAAGAACGGGAAGAAUAAGUCUGCGCAAAUAUCGCAGAUGAUGACGGUACCGUUUGUAAGCUCCGGCUAACUCCGUGCCAGCAGCCGCGGUAAUACGGGGGGAGCAAGCGUUGUUCGGAUUUACUGGGCGUAAAGGGCGCGUAGGCGGCCACCGCAAGUCGACUGUGAAAUCUCCGGGCUUAACCCGGAACGGUCAGCCGAUACUGCGGGGCUAGAGUGCAGAAGGGGCAACUGGAAUUCUCGGUGUAGCGGUGAAAUGCGUAGAUAUCGAGAGGAACACCUGCGGCGAAGGCGGGUUGCUGGGCUGACACUGACGCUGAGGCGCGAAAGCUAGGGGAGCGAACGGGAUUAGAUACCCCGGUAGUCCUAGCCUUAAACGAUGAAUGCUUGGUGUCUGGGGUUUUAUAGUCCCCGGGUGCCGUCGCU
This 802-nucleotide ribosomal RNA is filed under the name uncultured Bacillota bacterium. Its description in RNAcentral is "bacterial SSU rRNA". It matches the Rfam family "Bacterial small subunit ribosomal RNA", at positions 74 to 853 of the family's 1533-position model. Lineage: Bacteria; Bacillati; Bacillota. The record is from RNAcentral.